AUGCUGGGCUGGCAGCUGAGCGUCUGGCUGCGGCUGGCCAGCAUGGAUUCUGGGGCACACAGAAGGUGCUGGACGUUGCUGCGUGCGGGCUCUCUCCGGUGGAGGCCAGAAGGAGAACAGGGGCUCCCUCAGCGGUGCCAGGGCCUCUCACGGAUGUUUUCCAGUCACUUUGGGAUCCCUGCAGGGGACGAAGGUUCCUCACGUCUUAGUCCUUAA
Molecule: long non-coding RNA, 216 nt
Filed under: Calidris pugnax (ruff)
Lineage: Eukaryota; Metazoa; Chordata; Aves; Charadriiformes; Scolopacidae
Description: lncRNA (ENSCPUG00000008120.1)
Source: RNAcentral